Molecule: ribosomal RNA, 604 nt
Filed under: uncultured bacterium
Lineage: Bacteria
Description: bacterial SSU rRNA
Rfam family: Bacterial small subunit ribosomal RNA
Source: RNAcentral
UCUGGAAACUGUNUGACUUGAGUGCAGAAGGGGAGAGUGGAAUUCCAUGUGUAGCGGUGAAAUGCGUAGAUAUAUGGAGGANCACCAGUGGCGAAAGCGGCUCUCUGGUCUGUCACUGACGCUGAGGCUCGAAAGCGUGGGUAGCGAACAGGAUUAGAUACCCUGGUCGUCCACGCCGUAAACGAUGAGUGCUAGGUGUUAGGCCCUUUCCGGGGCUUAGUGCCGGAGCUAACGCAAUAAGCACUCCGCCUGGGGAGUACGACCGCAAGGUUGAAACUCAAAGGAAUUGACGGGGGCCCGCACAAGCGGUGGAGCAUGUGGUUUAAUUCGAAGCAACGCGAAGAACCUUACCAGGUCUUGACAUCCCGAUGCUAUUCUUAGAGAUAGGAAGUUACUUCGGUACAUCGGAGACAGGUGGUGCAUGGUUGUCGUCAGCUCGUGUCGUGAGAUGUUGGGUUAAGUCCCGCAACGAGCGCAACCCUUAUUGUUAGUUGCCAUCAUUAAGUUGGGCACUCUAGCGAGACUGCCGGUAAUAAACCGGAGGAAGGUGGGGAUGACGUCAAAUCAUCAUGCCCCUUAUGACCUGGGCUACACACGCGCUACA